RNAcentral lists this ribosomal RNA (253 nucleotides) under uncultured bacterium. RNAcentral's name for it is "partial 16S ribosomal RNA". It matches the Rfam family "Bacterial small subunit ribosomal RNA", at positions 524 to 776 of the family's 1533-position model. The record is from RNAcentral.
CACGUAGGGUCCGAGCGUUGUCCGGAAUUACUGGGCGUAAAGCGUGCGCAGGCGGUUGUGCAAGACCGAUGUGAAAUCCCCGGGCUUAACCUGGGAAUGGCAUUGGUGACUGCACGGCUAGAGUGUGUCAGAGGGGGGUAGAAUUCCACGUGUAGCAGUGAAAUGCGUAGAGAUGUGGAGGAAUACCGAUGGCGAAGGCAGCCCCCUGGGAUAACACUGACGCUCAUGCACGAAAGCGUGGGGAGCAAACAGG